RNAcentral lists this non-coding RNA (122 nucleotides) under zebrafish metagenome. RNAcentral describes it as "Burkholderia RNA 11". It matches the Rfam family "Burkholderia RNA 11". From Rfam's summary of the family: Co-purified with Hfq, expression confirmed by Northern blot. The record is from RNAcentral.
GCAACCUGAAGCUGGCGCGCGGCAACAUCGUGGUGUUCCGCUCGCUGCUGGGCAUCAGUUGGAUGUGGUUCUUCGGCGCCGUGUUCCUGAGCAACUUCCCGGCCUUCGCCAAGGAGGUGCUG